UGCAAUAAUCACUGAUUUGCUUACCUCCUUUUCCAUGACAUGACUCUAAGCCUCAUGCUGGCAGAAACCAUGUCUUACUGGACACUGUCUCCUCAAAACUUCCGGGAAAUUCCAAGAGUACAGUGAGUCAGUGAAGAAGUACACAGAUUUUAUUUGGAACUAUGAAUAAAACAUAGAAUUUCCUUCUUCGUUUCCCAGAUGUGGCUAACAAGUGGUUUCAAGAGUCACCUGAUUAGAAGUGCUCCUCAAACUUUUCCACCAACUAAACAGAGCAAAUGAGAGGACAAAUGUCUCCAGUGUCCCAGGGAGCUUGAGGCUUCAACUGGACACAAGUAUAAACAGCUUUUAAGUCACACUCACUCAGAAUCCCAGUCUAUGGGCAAAAUAUCAUUCUACAAAACCCCCGACGAGUGCUCUUUAAAACUGUCAAGAUCAUCAAAACCAGAGUCUAAAAGCCUGUCACAGCCAAGAGACUCCUAAGGAGACAUGACUACUAAAUGUAAUGUGAUAUCCUGGAUGGGCUCCUAGAACAAAAACAAGGAAAUCAGAAUGAUGAUGAAAAUAGUCUCUGCGUCACAGAAUUGGAAGAAGUAUUAUAAAAGAUACUUCAUUACAGAACUUAAAAUGUCACUUGGGACAUGGUAAGUACUUAAAAAAUGUUAGCUAUUAUUGGC
Canis lupus familiaris (dog) is the source of this 674-nucleotide long non-coding RNA. RefSeq lists it as uncharacterized. Lineage: Eukaryota; Metazoa; Chordata; Mammalia; Carnivora; Canidae. The transcript is spliced from 3 exons. The record is from RefSeq and is a predicted model, not a curated record.